RNAcentral lists this ribosomal RNA (459 nucleotides) under uncultured bacterium. RNAcentral's name for it is "partial 16S ribosomal RNA". It matches the Rfam family "Bacterial small subunit ribosomal RNA", at positions 338 to 795 of the family's 1533-position model. The record is from RNAcentral.
CCUACGGGAGGCAGCAGUGAGGAAUAUUGGUCAAUGGGCGCUAGCCUGAACCAGCCAAGUAGCGUGAAGGAUGACUGCCCUAUGGGUUGUAAACUUCUUUUAUAUGGGAAUAAAGUGCAGUAUGUAUACUGCUUUGCAUGUACCUUAUGCAUAAGGAUCGGCUAACUCCGUGCAGGAGCCCGGGUAAUACGGGGGAUUCGAGGGUUAUCCGGGUUUAUUGGGUUUAAAGGAAGCGUAGGGGGGUUGUUAAGUGAGUUGUGAAAGUUUUCGGCUCAACCGUAAAAUUGCAGUUGAUACUGGGAUCCUUGAGUACAGGAGAGGAAGGCGGAAUUCGUGGUGUAGCGGUGAAAUGCUUAGAUAUCACGAAGAACUCCGAUUGCGAAGGCGGCCUGCUGGACUGUAACGGACGCUGAUGCUCGAAAGUGUGGGUAUCAAACAGGAUUAGAUACCCCAGUAGUC